GCUAAUUAUGUGCCAGCAGCCGCGGUAAUACAUAAGGGGCGAGCGUUAUCCGGAAUUAUUGGGCGUAAAGGGUGCGUAGGCGGUUUAAUAAGUCUAUAGUUUAAUUUCAGCGCUUAACGCUGUUGCGCUAUAGAAACUGUUUUACUAGAGUGAGUUAGAGGCAAGCGGAAUUCCAUGUGUAGCGGUAAAAUGCGUAAAUAUAUGGAGGAACACCAGAGGCGUAGGCGGCUUGCUGGGACUUUACUGACGCUGAGGCACGAAAGCGUGGGGAGCAAACAGGAUUAGAUACCCUGGUAGUCCACGCCGUAAACGAUGAGUACUAAGUGUCGGGUAAAACCGGUACUGAAGUUAACACAUUAAGUACUCCGCCUGAGUAGUACGUACGCAAGUAUGAAACUUAAAGGAAUUGACGGGACUCCGCACAAGCGGUGGAUCAUGUUGUUUAAUUCGAAGAUACACGAAAAACCUUACCAGGUCUUGACAUUUUCUUGCGAAGUUAUAGAAAUAUAAUGGAGGUUAUCAGGAAAACAGGUGGUGCAUGGUUGUCGUCAGCUCGUGUCGUGAGAUGUUAGGUUAAGUCCUAAAACGAGCGCAACCCUUGUCGUUAAUUGCCAGCAUGUAAUGAUGGGGACUUUAACGAGACUGCCAAUGAAAAAUUGGAGGAAGGUGGGGAUUACGUCAAAUCAUCAUGCCCCUUAUGAUCUGGGCUACAAACGUGAUACAAUGGUUGAUACAAAGAGUAGCUGAAACGCGAGUUCUUAGCCAAUCUCACAAAAUCAAUC
This 782-nucleotide ribosomal RNA is filed under the name Cassava frogskin disease phytoplasma. RNAcentral describes it as "bacterial SSU rRNA". It matches the Rfam family "Bacterial small subunit ribosomal RNA", at positions 496 to 1287 of the family's 1533-position model. The record is from RNAcentral. Lineage: Bacteria; Bacillati; Mycoplasmatota; Mollicutes; Acholeplasmatales; Acholeplasmataceae.